GCCAAAACGAAAUUAAUAGUCCUUCUGGCCAAAAUUCCCCUUUGGACUAAAAACUUCCUUUCGUUAUCUGUCUUCAAGAAUAUUCCUAAUAUCCUACAUCCUAGUGAUGCCAGAUGCACCUUUGCCGACAAGUGGUUUGUUUUGUGUCGGAUUGUUGAUAAGGGGAGGUCCCAUAACCGGCAGUUUAUGUGUGCGUGGAAAUAUGCCGGGUGAUUUAAAGUAGAUGUACUUAAUUUUUUUAUAAUUAAAAUAAAAAAACUGUGUUAAUCAUGGAUUUCGACUUAGUUUUGGAUUAUAUUGGUCAUUAUGGAAAAUUCCAAUGUUGCGUGAUGAUUCUCGCUGGCGUUGCUCAAAUAUUUGGAGGAAUGCAAAUGCAUUCAAGCAUCUUUUUAACUCCCAUGGACCAUCCGAAAAUAAAUUUUCAAAGAUGUUUUAUUCCUAAUUGUGAUAAUGGAACAACACAGUAUGAGGAGAGAUUUGUACAUUUUGCAGUGCCAAAUAUUACUGAUGAAUUUGGGAAUUCUGCUCCUAGUCCAUGUAUGCAUUAUGAAGCAAUUAAAGGUCAAGACUAUUGUGGUUAUGAGGCAUUUAACAGAAACAAAACUGUCUCCUGUCAGUCUUAUGUAUGGGAACAUACAGAAUUUCAAGAAACUGCCAUUUCUGAAUUUAGUAUAGUGUGCAAGAAAAGUUGGAAUGGAGCAAUGUCGAAUUCCAUAUUUAUGGUUGGAGUAUUGUUUGGAUCUGCUGGAUUUGGAGCAAUUGCUGACAAAUAUGGACGGAAAAAUGUCAUGAUGUCAGCUUCUUUAAUAAUGUUAGUUUCAUCAGUUGGCACAUCCUUUGCUCCAAGCUUUAAUGUAUUCUCAUUAUUACGCUUCAUCACUGCAGCUGCAGUAAGUGGACUUUUUCAAACUGGAUAUAUAUUAGCUGUAGAAUUCAUCGGAACUUCCAAGAGACUUAUAUGUGCUAACAUUAUGCAAAUAGUUUUUGCUGUUGGUGAAUUAAUUUUGGGAUUUAUUGCUUAUUUUGUAAGAAAGUGGAGAGUCUUAGAAUUGAUUAUAUCAGUACCAUCUGCUAUUCUAAUUGUAUAUUAUUGGUUUUUGCCAGAAUCUGUUAGGUGGUUAAUUUCUAAAGGCAAACACAAUAAGGCAAAGCAGACUAUAUUAAAAGCUGCUAGGUGGAACAAUGUUGCUGUACCUGAACAUCUGCUUAGAGCAUCUGAAUAUAGUAAUGCGGAUCCUGAAAUUGAUGAGCGACAACAGUCAAAUUCACCUAUGAACUUAGUGCGUACAUCUCAGAUGAGAAAAUGGACAAUGAAUAUUUCUUUUAAUUGGGUUGUAAAUGCUAUGGUUUAUUAUGGCUUAUCAUUGAGUGCUGGAAAAUUAAGUAAAAAUACUUAUGCCAAUUUUGCAAUAUUAGCUGCAGUGGAAAUCCCAGCUGUAUUUCUGGCUACUUGGGCUUUAUAUUAUUGUGGUAGGAGAAAUGUUUUAUGUUCUGUAAUGGUAUUUGGAGGCCUUGCUUGUGGGUCAACUGUCUUUGUUCCUCAAGCUUUAUCUUGGGUUGCAGUGAUGCUUGCAGUUAUAGGGAAGAGUGCCAUAGCUGCAUCUUUUGCCAUCAUUUACAUAUAUUCUGCAGAGAUUUAUCCUACUGUCCUGAGGAGCACAGGAAUAGGUUUUAGUAGCAUGUGUGGAAGACUUGGAGGUAUAAUAGCUCCAUUCAUCAAUGAAUUGAGGAAAGUCUAUAAUCCUUUGCCAAUGAUAAUAUUUGCUGUAGCAGCAAUUAUAUCUGGAUUACUGGCAUUGACAUUACCUGAAACCCACAACAGGCAGUUGCCUGAAUCUGUAGAAGAAGCAGAAGCCUUGGCUUCACCCAGAGGUGCUGGAUUUGAGAGACUAAUAUCCAGAGCGCGAAAUUUACCUAGAAUAGGUAGUACAUCGCCAAGAUCAUUAAGACGGGAUGUAGAAGAAAGGAGACGUCUGAUAAAUGCAUAAUUAUUGUGAACUACUUUAAAUUAUGUCAUUCAUCAUAAGGUCCUUAAUUUUUUCUUUGAUGGUCCUUAAAAGUCCUUAAUUUUCAUGUAAGGAAAUGUGUACGAACCCUGGUAUUUGAUUAUCACCAAAAACUGGUAAGAGUUUUAUUUUAACACGUUCACGCUGGGGCCAAUUUAAAUGUUCUUCGCCGUGAGACGACGCUCGAAUUUUUGCCACGUUUCGUCUGGUGGCGCGUGAUUAUUACCUGCUGAGACCUGUAUACGAGUUCAUCUAAUAACACAAUUAAAUGUGUGACAUCGGUGGCACGUGCCGCCCGAUAAGACUGACUUUGCGGGCCACCGGUGGUACGUGCCGCCCGAUGAGACAGGCUAGUGUGGGCCACUGGUAUCCCAUGCCGACAUGAACGUGUUAAUUCAGCAUCAAUCUACAGUUACUUUUUUAUUUAACUUUACAUUGUACAUUGGCAUUUGAACAAGUAUUUUACCCUCUCGAUGAACUUCAUCACAUUUGAACUUUUUUACUUUCUUUUGUGAAGUAUAGUAAUCAUGGAAAAUUUAGAUAUCAUCUUUGAAUGAAAAUAUUCAUUUUGACCAUUUUCAAAUCCAUUUGGAUGAGUUUUGUGUAUGAUGUCUGUACGUAUGGACAGAAUAAAGGACUCUUUGUUUCAAAAAUAGCUUGUAAAAGGAUUCAAAAGGGUUUUAUUUUGACAUCUCUGCAUAUGUACAUAUGUAUAUCUCAUAUAAUUUAUAAACGAUUAGCCAUAGAACAUUCAAAUUUUGUAUAUGGGACUGCUAUAACAUUUAGUUGUGCAACUCCUCUUUUUAUUGCAAUCAGCAUACCA
Molecule: RNA transcript, 2829 nt
Organism: Stegodyphus dumicola
Lineage: Eukaryota; Metazoa; Arthropoda; Arachnida; Araneae; Eresidae
Gene name: organic cation transporter protein-like
Source: RefSeq, a predicted model, not a curated record